GGAGAAGUACUCAAGAGGCUGAAGAGGACGGUUUGCUAAAUCGUUAGGCUGGGAAACUGGUGCGCAGGUUCGAAUCCUGUCUUCUCCG
RNAcentral lists this transfer RNA (88 nucleotides) under Streptococcaceae bacterium. RNAcentral describes it as "tRNA-Ser". It matches the Rfam family "tRNA". From Rfam's summary of the family: Transfer RNA (tRNA) molecules are approximately 80 nucleotides in length. The record is from RNAcentral. Lineage: Bacteria; Bacillati; Bacillota; Bacilli; Lactobacillales; Streptococcaceae.